CAAUAAUGUUCUUACCUUCCAUGUUUUAAUCUAUUGUGUAAUGAAUGCCUAUAGAUGAAAACAUGGACUUUCUCUGUCAACAGGAAGUAUGAGCUACAGAAGUAGCAGCUACAGAAGGAGCAUUGAACACAUGGUGUCAACAGGAAAUCAGGCUUGUCAACAGGAAGUCACUCAGCAAUGCCAGGCAUGUUAAUUUGUUGUUUGCUGUACUUGUGUUUGCUUUCUAAAAUUAAUUUAAUCAGACAGAGGUUAAACUUUCUAAAAUUGUUUAUAUCUAACUGACACAUGGAUAGAUCGUGCAAUAGAAAUGAGGAUGCAGAUGCCAAAUGAAGGCCUCUCCAUCCAAAUUCAGUCCCAGCCACAACAAGGAUCGCACCAAGAUGCACCACAUAGGCAAGUGCAGUUUCUACUUUAAAUAUAUAUAAUUAUUUCAAAUAGUAUGAUGAUGAAUCAAGUGAUAUUUGUACUAUAUUACAAUAAAGUGGUUUUGUUUCCCUUUUAGAUCGGGAGUGCUAUGUGGACGAGCAUGUGACCUGUGGGAUGUGGUCCCAGUCGUUGUGAUUCUAGCUGGAAUACUGUACUUCAUUAUCCUAAUUAUUCUCAUUGUGUACAAGUACAUUUAGCAUUGUGGAGUGAAAUGCAGGAUGCAGCGGGAUAUGGCAAGGAGGGACAAACUGAGGGAGGAAAGCGUUAGGGUUCAUUAAGAUCUUUAAUUUGUUUGAGAUGUUAAGUAUGACUCCAAAAAAUAUUGUUAAUAACAUUUUGUUUUUCAAUUUGGUUUUGUUUAAUAAAACUGUUUAAACUGCAAAA
Molecule: long non-coding RNA, 810 nt
Organism: Dicentrarchus labrax (European seabass)
Lineage: Eukaryota; Metazoa; Chordata; Actinopteri; Moronidae
Exons: 2
Source: RefSeq, a predicted model, not a curated record